UGGGGAAUAUUGGACAAUGGGGGCAACCCUGAUCCAGCCAUGCCGCGUGCGUGAAGAAGGCCUUAGGGUUGUAAAGCGCUUUCAGCGGGGACGAUGAUGACGGUACCCGCAGAAGAAGCCCCGGCUAACUCCGUGCCAGCAGCCGCGGUAAUACGGAGGGGGCAAGCGUUGUUCGGAAUUACUGGGCGUAAAGGGCGCGUAGGCGGCACAUCAAGUCAGAGGUGAAAGCCCCGGGCUCAACCUGGGAAUUGCCUUUGAAACUGAUGAGCUAGAGUAUGGUAGAGGGAAGUGGAAUUUCCGGUGUAGCGGUGAAAUGCGUAGAUAUCGGAAGGAACACCAGUGGCGAAGGCGACUUCCUGGGCCAAUACUGACGCUGAGGUGCGAAAGCGUGGGGAGCAAACAGGAUUAGAUACCCCUGUAGUCC
Molecule: ribosomal RNA, 424 nt
Filed under: uncultured prokaryote
Description: bacterial SSU rRNA
Rfam family: Bacterial small subunit ribosomal RNA
Source: RNAcentral